RNAcentral lists this unclassified non-coding RNA (254 nucleotides) under Capnodiales sp. RNAcentral describes it as "partial contains 5.8S ribosomal RNA, internal transcribed spacer 2, and large subunit ribosomal RNA". Lineage: Eukaryota; Fungi; Ascomycota; Dothideomycetes; Capnodiales. The record is from RNAcentral.
CGCACAUUGCGCCCUUUGGCAUUCCGAAGGGCAUGCCCGUUCGAGCGUCAUUAAACCCAAUCAAGCCUGGCUUGGUAUUGGGCGCCGGGGUCUCCCGCGCCCCAAUUUCACCGGCUGGCCCGUCGCCCGUCUUAGCGUUGUGAAACAUUUUUCGCUAGGGUUGGGGCGGACCACGCCGUUAAACCGCACAAGUUUCUCAUCGAAAUUUGAUUAAGGUUGACCUCGGAUCGGGUAGGAAUACCCGCUGAACUUAA